UCGAAAGAAAUUACAGCAGAGAGAGAGAGAGAGGCAGGAAAGAGACACGGCGGCGACGUUUAGGGUUCCGCCGCAAACAAAACGACGGUGACGACUGUGGUUGACGUCGCAAGCUCCGGUUCCGGCAAGAGAUAAGUGGAUGCUAUUGUGGUUAAUAGUCAUGAUAAGAGGAUGCAAUGACUUAUGUGUAUCCCUUUUUGUCACCGUCCCUUCUACCGCCUUACCUAACCUUCUAAUUCGGCCGUUUUGAACCUCCUUCAACCGGGUUUCAGGGUGGUGGUGAAAGCCUGAAUCAACUCUAUAAACGUUGUACAAAUUCAUUGCAAGCGAUUGGCAGUAAACACCAAGGGGAGCGGGUUGUGGUGGUGACUCAUGGUGGUGUGAUCAGAGCACUUCAUGAGUGGGCUUCUUUAGGUACAGGACACCGAGCAGGAAGGAUACUGAACAGUCAAUGUAUUACACUUAUCGGAUCCCGACAAAUAGGUCAUCAAAUCAUGGGGGGAUGUCAGUCAUCUGAAUGGAGCCGGGUACUUAGACUCGGGUUUUGGUGGCGAUCGAACUUCCGGUUAGGCUUUUUCGUACAUGUCCAUUUGUUGACUUGCUAGAUGCAUUUAAUAACCAACAUGUCAAGUCUUUGAUGGGC
Molecule: long non-coding RNA, 643 nt
Organism: Helianthus annuus (common sunflower)
Lineage: Eukaryota; Viridiplantae; Streptophyta; Magnoliopsida; Asterales; Asteraceae
Exons: 3
Source: RefSeq, a predicted model, not a curated record